RNAcentral lists this transfer RNA (72 nucleotides) under Saccoglossus kowalevskii. RNAcentral's name for it is "tRNA-Glu". It matches the Rfam family "tRNA". From Rfam's summary of the family: Transfer RNA (tRNA) molecules are approximately 80 nucleotides in length. Their secondary structure includes four short double-helical elements and three loops (D, anti-codon, and T loops). Lineage: Eukaryota; Metazoa; Hemichordata; Enteropneusta; Harrimaniidae. The record is from RNAcentral.
UCCCAUAUGGUCUUGUGGUUAGUAUUUGGCGCUUUCAUCGCCAAGGCCCGGGUUCAAUUCCCGGUGUGGGAA